This is a long non-coding RNA of Syngnathus typhle (broad-nosed pipefish), 2125 nucleotides long. RefSeq lists it as uncharacterized. The record is from RefSeq and is a predicted model, not a curated record. The transcript is spliced from 4 exons. NCBI's taxonomy places the organism in Eukaryota, Metazoa, Chordata, Actinopteri, Syngnathiformes, Syngnathidae.
UUCAUUUACAUUUGGGCUGCGGCGUGCGGAUUAAAAAUAACGUUUCAACUUCCUCCUCGCUGUCAGCGCGUCCUUGACGGGUGCAGGAUGCGGCGUAUGGCGAGGGUUGGUGGAGGGAGGGGCUUGUUGUCCUAUCAAGUCUCCCCAUGCGUACCAGAUAAGGACUAGUCAAGAAACAGGAAGUGAGCGGGGCUUUUACGGGCUUACUUCCUGCGUGUGGAACCAGCGAUAUGACCCCUGUGUGGGCGUCAAAUGACUAUGGAGUCACAAAGAGGAUCUUAUGGAGGACUAUUGUUUAUUCCAACCACAGUGCCAGUGUCUAAAUUUAGUUGUGAGGUAAAUUAUCUGGAUUUGAAGGAAAACCCAGCAAGGGGAUCAUUUUUGAGAGGUCCAGGAACCUUUGUAGGGCUUAAGUGAAUGUUUAAGUGCCGGGAAUUCAACGGUUUCAGAACUUGAGGUGGCGUUUGAGAGGUCCACGAACCCACGGGAAGGAGCUUUCAGUAUUGAUCCAAUCACUAGAGGUUCUUAGAAGUCUAGGAGCUUUAGGAGCAGAGAUUCCAGCCCUGGGUUUUAUAGUUCAAGGAACUACAAGAACUUCCAAAAAAUCUUAAAACUUUAGACAGCAUAUGAUCAGCACGAACGUUACUCCUCACCUAAGGCAUUUUCUCAAGACCAUCGUCAGAAUAAAGUUUUGGACCUCGUAUAGGAACAGGAAGCGAGCUGGCUUUUUACGGACCGACUUCCUGCAUGUGGACCGAGUGAUAUGCCCCGUGGAGUCAUUUCCUGGAGGUGGCGGGGUGACUUCCUGAAAUAGUCUGACCCCCACGUGCAUGUGUGAGUGUGUUUGUGUCGGGAGGUUAUCUCAGGUGAGCAUCUCUUAUCUCUUUGAGUUUCACUGACUCGCAGCAGCAGCAGAUGGUCAAGUUACGUCCUCAUGUAUUUGUUAUCUGGCACUGGCUUUCCUCUAAACACGCAACUCACCCAGGUCUUUAUCUCCCACUUCAAGCCCGAAAGCUGCUAUCCAUGUCAAAGAGAGCAUACAUGGGGAGUGGGAUUAGGCCUUAGGGGAGGUAAUGGAAGCUCUACGCCGGACCACUGUGACGGACGGGCCUGAUAAUAAACAACAACAGAAUCCAGCUGGCACCACCACUUCCUAUUUCUUCAUCAAGUUUUACCAGGACGGGUGUGUGUGUCGCUACCGUCGCAGUUUUGCCAUCCCGGACCCCCGCGUGUCAGGAAAUCCUGGAUUUCCUCAACAUGGACCCCCCUCUCGACUGGCUUAAGAGUGUAGGAUGAUGAUGGCGCUAAUCUCUUCAUCAAACGGCUAAAUAAACAUUUGAGCAAGUGUGUGUGAGGCAAGAGGCAUUGAGUGCAAAUGUGGACAAAAGACAAUCAGUUGUGGGGGGGGGGGUCGAGAUUGUGUCAUCGGUCGACUGGAUUGUUUUUGAAAAGUUCCGGAAACUGGGUGGCUGUCACCAUACCGAAAUGAUACUAAACCGACACUGGAAAAAAAUUGCAUUAGCAUUAAGCUAAUAGACUGAUACUCAACAACAAUUCUUUUGGUGCUUAAAUAUUUGGUCCAAUGUUUAUUUUUGAUUUUGGAUGUCUGAUUCAUAGACUUUGUCUUCCAUAGCAGCAUCGGAUGUCUCUCAAUGUUUGCCAUACUGGCGCCGGGGGUGGAGUAAAGUAUGCUACCGCAGAACGCUCGUCCGACUUUUGACUUUUUCCACAUAAAAACAUUCUACAUAUUUUACUGGACUGACUCAUAAACAGCAUGAAGCAUACUUGGCUACGUUUGGUGAGGAAGAAGAUCAUCUGCAAGAUGUCUUUCCAAGAGAGGAGAAACUGACAUAUUAUGAAGAGUUACGGAAUGAAACAUUCUUUCAAGUACCGUUCGGUUGGACUCAAUUUUUCAUCCAAUACAUUUCAAUCGACUGAUUUUUGAUAGGCCUAAUGUAAAAAUACGUAGCAUCCAACUAUAUUGCACUCCGACGUUCCCACGGAUGGAAGCUCCACUUCUCACUUGUACAUGGUACCGCAUUUGAACCGUGUGUCAUAUCUAUAUUUACAGAAUCAAACGAAUCACACUCAGUCAUUUGGCCGAAAAAGCACGUUAAUUACCGUG